GGGGACCCGCACAAGCGGUGGAUGAUGUGGAUUAAUUCGAUGCAACGCGAAGAACCUUACUACCCUUGACAUGUCCGGAACUUGCCAGAGAUGGCUUGGUGCCCGAAAGGGAAUCGGAACACAGGUGCUGCAUGGCUGUCGUCAGCUCGUGUCGUGAGAUGUCGGGUUAAGUCCCGCAACGAGCGCAACCCUUAUCAUUAGUUGCUACGCAAGGGCACUCUAAUGAGACUGCCGGUGACAAACCGGAGGAAGUGGGGAUGACGUCAAGUCCUCAUGGCCCUUAUGGGUAGGGCUUCACACGUCAUACAAUGGUCGGUACAGAGGGUUGCCAAGCCGCGAGGCGGAGCCAAUCCCACAAAGCCGAUCGUAGUCCGGAUUGUUCUCUGCAACUCGAGAGCAUGAAGUCGGAAUCGCUAGUAAUCGCAGGUCAGCAUACUGCGGUGAAUACGUUCCCGGGUCUU
This 461-nucleotide ribosomal RNA is filed under the name uncultured Thiobacillus sp. RNAcentral's name for it is "bacterial SSU rRNA". It matches the Rfam family "Bacterial small subunit ribosomal RNA", at positions 915 to 1382 of the family's 1533-position model. The record is from RNAcentral. Lineage: Bacteria; Pseudomonadati; Pseudomonadota; Betaproteobacteria; Nitrosomonadales; Thiobacillaceae.